UUUCCUUUCUCUGUUCAUUUUGGCUGGAGGAAGAAAAAGAGGAAUACGAGAGCCCGCCAUUGACGACCUUCUCGAGCUUCGUCGAGCUCAUCCAAGCUUCUUUUUUUCUAUCUUGUGAGCUUCUAAUUGAUUCCCUAGCUUCUGGCCAUUGCUGAUUUGAUGUUCCUCUUGCUUGUUCUUGCUGGUUUGGCUUAGUUCUAAUGUCAAGGAGUGAUCAGGUGAUGAGAGACAGAGAGACAAAAGGAGAAGGAAAGAGAGUGAGAGAGAGAGAGAGAGAACAAUAGACAGAGGAGAGAGAGAGAGUUAGCUCGGGAAGAAACAUAGUAGAGAGAGGAAGAGCAGAGCAAGGGUAUGAUAGGAGGGCUCGAGAUAUUGUUCGCAUAAGAGGAAGAAAGAAGACAGAAGAGCUAAGAGGAGAUGGGAACAAAUCAGGGAUCGAGGAAACCGAGUAUCUGGAUUCUGAAGGCUCGAACAAGUGAACUAUUCUUUUGGGAAUUGUCAGUCAUCGAUUGAAUUCAAUAUUUGCUGUCAUGUUUGUUGAUGAGGAUCGUGGGCAUGACAACGAGGCUGAUGCACACGAGCUUGGAAGUCGAACUCGUGAAGAGGGAGCUGAAGCAUAAGAUCUUGGAGACUUGCAUGUUCCAAGUGGACUAAUCACACGGGCGAAGGCCAAACAAAUCCAACAAGCUAUGGAGAGCUUGCUGAUGGGCUUUUUGGGCCAAAAAGAGUCUAAUUCAAUUGAGUCUCCAAAGGCCUUUAUUCAAUUGACUUGCCAUGAGAUGCUGAGAUGGAAUAAAAGACUGCCAACUAUUUUAGAUAGCCUUUAUUUAGUUUCCUUUGUUAUUUCUGGCUUUAGGAAACUAAGGUUAUUCCAGUUGCCUAGUUUAUUAGUUUCCAGUUUCUCAUAGGUUUAUAUAAAGGAAGCUGAUUAGCUGAUCAUAAGUAGACUAUUCUGGUAUUUUGGUGAGAUUUUCUCAUUUGUUCUUCAUUGAACUCCUUCGAACGAACAAGUGUAACAGCUUGUGAUUGUUCGAUACACUUUGAUAUUAUUGGUUCUUGUUGAUUCA
Molecule: non-coding RNA, 1067 nt
Organism: Punica granatum (pomegranate)
Lineage: Eukaryota; Viridiplantae; Streptophyta; Magnoliopsida; Myrtales; Lythraceae
Source: RefSeq, a predicted model, not a curated record